Molecule: ribosomal RNA, 236 nt
Filed under: uncultured bacterium
Lineage: Bacteria
Description: partial 16S ribosomal RNA
Rfam family: Bacterial small subunit ribosomal RNA
Source: RNAcentral
UGGGUGACCUGCCCUCAGCUCUGGGAUAAGCCUGGGAAACUGGGUCUAAUACCGGAUAUGACUCCUCAUCGCAUGGGUGGGGGGUGGAAAGCUUUAUUGUGGUUUGGAUGGACUCGCGGCCUAUCAGCUUGUUGGUGAGGUAAUGGCUCACCAAGGCGACGACGGGUAGCCGGCCUGAGAGGGUGACCGGCCACACUGGGACUGAGACACGACCCAGACCUCCGUACGGGAGGNAG